GGGAGGUUAAGGCACUCACUCAAGGUCACACACCUAGUUAAUAGGGAGUCUAGCUUCAAACCCACAUCUGACUGAAUCUAAUUCCACCUACAGCUUUGAAGGCUCAGAAAACAUAACUGCUUGAAAAACUGAGUUAACUCUAUGACUGCCAGGACAAAAGCUUAGGAUUUAGAAAUGAAACAAUGAAUAAGUAGACAUUUUGCUCUCAUUUUGUUAUUUUUUACUUUAUUUUCCAAAUAUGUUUAGGUUAAAGAAAAGAACAUGGGAUUUAGAGUCAAAUAGGCAGGUGUUUUGAUUCUACCCUUGCUAACCCUGUGACCUUUGAAGGCUAAACCCCAAGUGAAGCGACCAGCAAUAAAUACUCAGGUGACUCUAAUGGAAGCCAAAGCAAUGCCAUAUGACAAAGGCAUUGGAUGUUCAUUCAUUUUCCAAGAAAGGGGUAAAAGGACAGCCUACGUUGUCCAGUGGAGGCAGCCUUCCCAUUCCAACGGACAUUUGUGGGAUAUUAGAGACCAAGAAGUGUUAAGAGAUGAUCUUCACAAAAUGCUGAGCUUGUGUGGGUGUCGAACUACAAACAGGAGGAGAUGGAUAUUCACAUGCAGUGGUGGAGGGUUAUGGCUCUCCAGCCUGGAGGAUUGGAGCUUGAGCCAGGAAAGAAGCUUUCAUUUGCAUCAAUAUGCUAGUCCAUGGAGUACACAGAUUGUUCUACAAACCAUAUGGUGACUAAGCCUCAUUAUUGAAUGCAGUUGACAUGGAAACAACUAGUCAACAUCAAAUAAAUAGAUUAUUUUGUGCAAAUAGCUGCCUCUUUGUGACAAUAAUAAAUACUUUAUUUGUAUCAGGAAAAUGUCUAACAAUAAUUCAAUGACAAUUAACAAUACCUUUAUGGCCUUCAAUUGCUUGUAUAUUCUCUCACUCUCUCUGUAUGUAUAUACACACAGACACACAUAUGUAUACAUAUACAUAUAUAUAUAUAUUUUAAGAAAAAUUAUUGAAAUACUAAAGCAAUAAUCAACCUCUGGGAUAGCCUAGCAAUGCAUAAAGUUAUGUCUCAAGGUUUCAAUAUCAUCUCCAUAUAUUCUAUAGCCAUAAAAC
This 1095-nucleotide long non-coding RNA is filed under the name Homo sapiens (human). Its description in RNAcentral is "HSALNT0373731". The record is from RNAcentral. Lineage: Eukaryota; Metazoa; Chordata; Mammalia; Primates; Hominidae.